Molecule: long non-coding RNA, 200 nt
Filed under: Manihot esculenta (cassava)
Lineage: Eukaryota; Viridiplantae; Streptophyta; Magnoliopsida; Malpighiales; Euphorbiaceae
Description: long non-coding RNA (MESC_LNC012548)
Source: RNAcentral
GGAUGGAUUGGUUAUCUACAUAUAGUGCUACUUUGGACUGUAGAGAGAAGCUAGUGAGUCUCAGAGAUCAGGAUGGGUCAGAGUGUGUCUUCAGAGGAGACAGGAGAGGUACACCCAGAGGUAUGAUUUCAGCCCUUCAGGCUCAUCGUUUGCUUAGGAGGGGUUGUCAGGGGUUUCUAGCUCAUGUGAGAGAGCUAGAC